GAUGAAGAACGCAGCGAAAUGCGAUAAGUAAUGUGAAUUGCAGAAUUCAGUGAAUCAUCGAAUCUUUGAACGCACAUUGCGCCCGCCAGUAUUCUGGCGGGCAUGCCUGUUCGAGCGUCAUUUCAACCAUCAAGCCCCAGGCUUGUGUUGGGGACCUGCGGCUGCCGCAGGCCCUGAAAACCAGUGGCGGGCUCGCUGUCACACCGGGCGUAGUAGAUUUUAUCUCGCUCUGGGCGUGCUGCGGGUUCCGGCCGUUAAAAAACCCUUUUAACCCAAGGUUGACCUCGGAUCAGGUAGGAAUACCGCUGAACUUAAGCAUAUCAAUAAGCGGAGGA
This 335-nucleotide unclassified non-coding RNA is filed under the name soil metagenome. RNAcentral describes it as "partial contains 5.8S ribosomal RNA, internal transcribed spacer 2, and large subunit ribosomal RNA". The stretch from base 1 to 120 matches the Rfam family "5.8S ribosomal RNA", at positions 35 to 154 of the family's 154-position model. The record is from RNAcentral.